Gekko japonicus is the source of this 185-nucleotide long non-coding RNA. RefSeq lists it as uncharacterized. The transcript has 2 exons. Lineage: Eukaryota; Metazoa; Chordata; Lepidosauria; Squamata; Gekkonidae. The record is from RefSeq and is a predicted model, not a curated record.
GCGCGGCCGGAAGUGAAGGAGGACGGUCGGUCGCGGCGCGGAAGUAGCCGGGCCGAGGGGGAGGGAAGGCGGCCGAGAGCGAGCGACUGAGGAGGAUGAACAACAAAUUCGACGCUCUGAAGGACGAUGACAGUGGAGACCAUGACCAGAACGAAGAGAACGGCACACAGAAAGAUGGUGAGAAG